AGCCUUCUGGUCUUACCACAGGCACUGUUCUUACACUGACUAUAUAGAAAAAGGAGGAAGAGUAAACCUGCUCCACAUAUACCUCAGCCCAGGCCUUCUGCCUUAUCUGUAUUGUGAAGGAGGAAAAAAAA
Cavia porcellus (domestic guinea pig) is the source of this 131-nucleotide small nucleolar RNA. Ensembl annotates it as small nucleolar RNA SNORA51. The record is from Ensembl. Lineage: Eukaryota; Metazoa; Chordata; Mammalia; Rodentia; Caviidae.